GCACUCUAUACCCAUACUUUUUUACCCCUUUCCCAUGGUACUGAGGCUGUUUCUGGUCAGUCUUGAAGCAUAGGCAGGGCGAAGGAGUAACUCAGUGCCACACAGAUUGCAGUGUGGUUUUCUAGUUCGGAGUUCCCUGAAGAUGCUAUAUAGUAUAUUCAAAGAAUGUGCAUGUUUCCUUUAAAUACAUUAUGCUUUGGUGUGAUUCUGAGAUAAGCAUCCUGAAUCACUGACUAGUAGUUAUUUUAAAUUCACAGGCUUUUUAGCUAUCCCUAAGACACUUGAUAUGUCUAUAACCUGGGGCAUAUUAUGACAAGAAUGGCUUGUACAUGACAUUUACAGGAAGAUGUUUUCAAAUUCAAUGAAAGUCCUUGACAUGAUGCUACCUAAGGACUGAUAAUCACUGCUCUUCUCAGGUGGUCAUGAGGAGAAUUGCUGUUUCUAAAACACUUUCUGGUCAUCCCCUGUUACAGGGCUCAUGCCACCCUCUUUGUGCAGUCCUGUCCUGUCGUGGUGGGGAUGUCUUGGGCAGUGUGCAUGACAGAAGCCAGAUGGCCCUCCAGAAAGGAAACUGCCAAGAAUGAGAAAUGCAAGAUUCUCAGAAAAUGCCAUGUUUGGUUUGGAUUUUGUCCUGGAAUGUGAAACAGAACAAAUGUUAGAUCCUCCCGGGGUGCCUUGAAGAUGAAAUGAGGAAGAGAGGGAAAGCCAUUGGUGAGAAUUAUCUG
Molecule: long non-coding RNA, 725 nt
Filed under: Cricetulus griseus (Chinese hamster)
Lineage: Eukaryota; Metazoa; Chordata; Mammalia; Rodentia; Cricetidae
Description: lncRNA (ENSCGRG00000025613.1)
Source: RNAcentral